CCUACGGGAGGCAGCAGUGGGGAAUAUUGCGCAAUGGGCGAAAGCCUGACGCAGCGACGCCGCGUGAGGGAUGAAGGUCUUCGGAUCGUAAACCUCUGUCAGCAGGGAAGAACGGUCACUGUGCUAAUCAGCAGUGAAUUGACGGUACCUGCAAAGGAAGCACCGGCUAACUCCGUGCCAGCAGCCGCGGCAAUACGGAGGGUGCGAGCGUUAAUCGGAAUUACUGGGCGUAAAGCGCUCGUAGGCGGUAUGUCAAGUCAAGGGGGAAAUCCCCGCGCUCAACGUGGGAACUGCCUUUGAAACUGGCAAACUGGAGUGUGUGAGAGGAUAGUGGAAUUCCAGGUGUAGGAGUGAAAUCCGUAGAUAUCUGGAGGAACAUCAGUGGCGAAGGCGACUAUCUGGCACAUAACUGACGCUGAGGAGCGAAAGCGUGGGUAGCAAACAGGAUUAGAUACCCGAGUAGGC
Molecule: ribosomal RNA, 465 nt
Filed under: uncultured bacterium
Lineage: Bacteria
Description: partial 16S ribosomal RNA
Rfam family: Bacterial small subunit ribosomal RNA
Source: RNAcentral